Molecule: ribosomal RNA, 750 nt
Filed under: uncultured Dechloromonas sp.
Lineage: Bacteria; Pseudomonadati; Pseudomonadota; Betaproteobacteria; Rhodocyclales; Azonexaceae
Description: bacterial SSU rRNA
Rfam family: Bacterial small subunit ribosomal RNA
Source: RNAcentral
CGAAAGCGUGGGGAGCAAACAGGAUUAGAUACCCCGGUAGUCCACGCCCUAAACGAUGUCAACUAGGUGUUGGGUGGGUAAAACCAUUUAGUACCGUAGCUAACGCGUGAAGUUGACCGCCUGGGGAGUACGGCCGCAAGGUUAAAACUCAAAGGAAUUGACGGGGACCCGCACAAGCGGUGGAUGAUGUGGAUUAAUUCGAUGCAACGCGAAAAACCUUACCUACCCUUGACAUGUCCAGGAGCCUGAAGAGAUUUAGGUGUGCCCGAAAGGGAGCUGGAACACAGGUGCUGCAUGGCUGUCGUCAGCUCGUGUCGUGAGAUGUUGGGUUAAGUCCCGCAACGAGCGCAACCCUUGUCGUUAAUUGCCAUCAUUCAGUUGGGCACUUUAACGAGACUGCCGGUGACAAACCGGAGGAAGGUGGGGAUGACGUCAAGUCCUCAUGGCCCUUAUGGGUAGGGCUUCACACGUCAUACAAUGGUCGGUACAGAGGGUUGCCAAGCCGCGAGGUGGAGCCAAUCCCAGAAAGCCGAUCGUAGUCCGGAUCGUAGGCUGCAACUCGCCUGCGUGAAGUCGGAAUCGCUAGUAAUCGCGGAUCAGCAUGUCGCGGUGAAUACGUUCCCGGGUCUUGUACACACCGCCCGUCACACCAUGGGAGCGGGUUCCGCCAGAAGUAGGUAGCCUAACCGCAAGGAGGGCGCUUACCACGGCGGGGUUCGUGACUGGGGUGAAGUCGUAACAAGGUAACCA